This 303-nucleotide ribosomal RNA is filed under the name Rhinusa tetra. RNAcentral's name for it is "partial 16S ribosomal RNA". The record is from RNAcentral. Lineage: Eukaryota; Metazoa; Arthropoda; Insecta; Coleoptera; Curculionidae.
AAGGUAGCAUAAUCAUUAGUUUUUUAAUUGAAAGCUGGUAUGAAAGGUUGGAUGAAAAAAUAGCUGUCUCUGUUUAAAUUUAUUAGAAUUUUAUUUUUAAGUAAAAAAGCUUAAAUAUUUAUUGAAGACGAGAAGACCCYAUAGAGUUUUAUAAAUUUAAUUAUUGAAAAUUUUAGGAUUUUAAAAGUUAAUAGUUAAAUUUAUUUAGUUGGGGUGAUUGAAAAAUUUAUUGAACYUUUUUUUUAUAGAAACMUAGAUUUAUGAGUAGUUGAUCCUUUUAUUAAGAUUAAAAGAUAAAAUUAC